This 1136-nucleotide ribosomal RNA is filed under the name Streptococcus mutans. RNAcentral describes it as "bacterial SSU rRNA". It matches the Rfam family "Bacterial small subunit ribosomal RNA", at positions 69 to 1185 of the family's 1533-position model. Lineage: Bacteria; Bacillati; Bacillota; Bacilli; Lactobacillales; Streptococcaceae. The record is from RNAcentral.
AACACACUGUGCUUGCACACCGUGUUUUCUUGAGUCGCGAACGGGUGAGUAACGCGUAGGUAACCUGCCUAUUAGCGGGGGAUAACUAUUGGAAACGAUAGCUAAUACCGCAUAAUAUUAAUUAUUGCAUGAUAAUUGAUUGAAAGAUGCAAGCGCAUCACUAGUAGAUGGACCUGCGUUGUAUUAGCUAGUUGGUAAGGUAAGAGCUUACCAAGGCGACGAUACAUAGCCGACCUGAGAGGGUGAUCGGCCACACUGGGACUGAGACACGGCCCAGACUCCUACGGGAGGCAGCAGUAGGGAAUCUUCGGCAAUGGACGAAAGUCUGACCGAGCAACGCCGCGUGAGUGAAGAAGGUUUUCGGAUCGUAAAGCUCUGUUGUAAGUCAAGAACGUGUGUGAGAGUGGAAAGUUCACACAGUGACGGUAGCUUACCAGAAAGGGACGGCUAACUACGUGCCAGCAGCCGCGGUAAUACGUAGGUCCCGAGCGUUGUCCGGAUUUAUUGGGCGUAAAGGGAGCGCAGGCGGUCAGGAAAGUCUGGAGUAAAAGGCUAUGGCUCAACCAUAGUGUGCUCUGGAAACUGUCUGACUUGAGUGCAGAAGGGGAGAGUGGAAUUCCAUGUGUAGCGGUGAAAUGCGUAGAUAUAUGGAGGAACACCAGUGGCGAAAGCGGCUCUCUGGUCUGUCACUGACGCUGAGGCUCGAAAGCGUGGGUAGCGAACAGGAUUAGAUACCCUGGUAGUCCACGCCGUAAACGAUGAGUGCUAGGUGUUAGGCCCUUUCCGGGGCUUAGUGCCGGAGCUAACGCAAUAAGCACUCCGCCUGGGGAGUACGACCGCAAGGUUGAAACUCAAAGGAAUUGACGGGGGCCCGCACAAGCGGUGGAGCAUGUGGUUUAAUUCGAAGCAACGCGAAGAACCUUACCAGGUCUUGACAUCCCGAUGCUAUUCUUAGAGAUAGGAAGUUACUUCGGUACAUCGAAAACAGGUGGUGCAUGGUUGUCGUCAGCUCCUGUCCUGAGAUGUUGGGUUAAGUCCCGCAACGAGCGCAACCCUUAUUGUUAGUUGCCAUCAUUAAGUUGGGCACUCUAGCGAGACUGCCGGUAAUAAACCGGAGGAAGGUGGGGAUUUGGUGG